RNAcentral lists this ribosomal RNA (253 nucleotides) under uncultured bacterium. Its description in RNAcentral is "partial 16S ribosomal RNA". It matches the Rfam family "Bacterial small subunit ribosomal RNA", at positions 524 to 776 of the family's 1533-position model. The record is from RNAcentral.
UACGGAGGGGGCUAGCGUUGUUCGGAAUUACUGGGCGUAAAGCGCACGUAGGCGGACCAGAAAGUCAGGGGUGAAAUCCCGGGGCUCAACCCCGGAACUGCCUUUGAAACUUCUGGUCUUGAGGUCGAGAAAGGUGAGUGGAAUUCCGAAUGUAGAGGUGAAAUUCGUAGAUAUUCGGAGGAACACCAGUGGCGAAGGCGGCUCACUGGCACGAUACUGACGCUGAGGUGCGAAAGCGUGGGGAGCAAACAGG